This 83-nucleotide transfer RNA is filed under the name Lachnospiraceae bacterium. Its description in RNAcentral is "tRNA-Leu". It matches the Rfam family "tRNA". Rfam says of the family: Transfer RNA (tRNA) molecules are approximately 80 nucleotides in length. Lineage: Bacteria; Bacillati; Bacillota; Clostridia; Lachnospirales; Lachnospiraceae. The record is from RNAcentral.
GACCGGAUAGCAUAGUGGACGAAUGCACCCUUCCAAAGCGGGAGGUCUUAGCGGAUCCGGGAGUUCGAAUCUCCCUCCGGUCG